GUUUUUUUAUUUUGUUUACUUUUAUUAACUAUUAUUUAAUACUUUUAAGUUAAGACAAAAAACAAUUUUAAAAAUGUGUAAAAAGUUAAAAGAAAUCGCUUCUUCAGGAGCAAAAGCUUUAGUUAGGCUGAUGAUUUUGUUUUUAAUGGUAGCUGAAUUCUUCCUGUUGUUUGCCUACUACAGAUUCCUCGGGUGGGCCUAUGAAAAGUUGUUACUUGUAACUCUCUUUUCGGGUUUUGUGUUCAUCUACAUACUGAUCAUCAUGGGUUCGAUCUCAAACAGAAUCAGCGCAUUUGUGGAAGCGACAUGGGCAUUUUAUGCAUGCUGUGCCUACUUCGUUUCAGGAUUUAUCUUCAUAUGGUUCUCAAAAUAUAAUAUUUUCUAUACAUACCAAGAAGCAGAAGGUCAAGCAAAAUUUGACGAGAAGUCGUAUUCAUUCGGUAGCAGGCUGAAUAAAAUGCUUUUCCAUGAUAGCCGAGAACCCUUGGCCAUCUGCUGUACCAUUUUGUCUUUCCUGAUUUCUAUAUUGACUCUUCUCCACAUGCUCGUAGUAAUGAAUAAAGUGGACUUGGACUCUUUGAAUAUUUACAAACAGAGAAGAUCGACAGAAAAAACAGCAAAAAUGUCAGUCAUUACUCGUGAAACCAUUUUAAACUGACCAUUAAUUUUUUGUCUUUUUUUGAAAGCAAACCCUAGAACCAAAAAAAUUUGAGACAUAACACAAAAAAUACAGUAUGGGACAGCAAAACUUGGGGAACCAACAGCCCAUUGAUAACAAUACAGAAUUUGUCUAACUCGACAUAUUUUUUAAUUUUACCUACCAUUGAAAAAUCUACUUUAACUCUACAUGAAAUAAUUUUAAUUGGAAUAAAUGCAUUAUUUGGUA
This 886-nucleotide unclassified non-coding RNA is filed under the name Cimex lectularius (bed bug). RNAcentral describes it as "uncharacterized LOC106668086, transcript variant X2". Lineage: Eukaryota; Metazoa; Arthropoda; Insecta; Hemiptera; Cimicidae. The record is from RNAcentral.